This 905-nucleotide long non-coding RNA is filed under the name Rattus norvegicus (Norway rat). Its description in RNAcentral is "long non-coding RNA NONRATT009243". The record is from RNAcentral. Lineage: Eukaryota; Metazoa; Chordata; Mammalia; Rodentia; Muridae.
UUCUUGCUCGCCCCUCCCUCCCCAGCCUUCCCCCGCGAGCGGACGCGCUAGCGCCUCUGUCUCGCUUUUUCUUAUUUUCUCCCCCUUCCCCCUUCCUUUUCUUUUCUUUUUUCCCCUUCCCCCCUUUCACCAUUUCCCCUCGGAGGCGCUUCCCUCGGGCAGGGGCAGAGCCGGCCUCACCCCGCGCCUCUCCCCGGCCCCCGCCGCCCUAUGGCGAGAGGGCGCCCCCUCCUCACCCGGGCACCAGCGGCAGCGGUCGGAGGAGCGGGACCGGCGGCGGCGGCCUCCGGCCCAGGGUCAUCAUGGAAUUAGUUCGCUGAGUGACCCUUCGGCCGCAGCCGUGCGUCCCGCCCGAGUGCCCGCGCCCGCCGGCCCGGUUUGCCCUCUUCUCCCUCCUCAGUCGGCCCGGCCCUAGUCCCGCGCGCCCCGCCGCCGCGCGCUGAGGAUCAUGAGGUGGUAACGGGCCCCCGGAUGACCCCGCGUCACCACUGUGAGGCCUACAGCUCUGCCGGGGAGGAGGAGGAGGAGGAAGAGGAGGAGAAGGUAGCUACAUCAAGCUGGGUGGCAGGCAGAUCCAAAGGGAUAUCAUGAAGUUUCCAGGACCUUUGGAAAACCAGAGACUGUCUUCCCUGUUGGAAAGGGCAAUCUCCAGGGAAGCCCAGAUGUGGAAGGUGAAUGUACCAAAAAUACCUACAAACCAGAAUGUUUCUCCAUCCCAGAGAGACGAAGUAAUUCAGUGGUUGGCCAAACUCAAAUACCAGUUCAACCUUUAUCCAGAAACAUUUGCUCUGGCAAGCAGUCUUUUGGAUAGGUUUUUAGCUACAGUAAAAGCUCAUCCAAAAUAUUUGAAUUGUAUUGCAAUCAGCUGUUUUUUUCUGGCUGCUAAGACUGUUGAAGAAGAUGAG